RNAcentral lists this ribosomal RNA (1171 nucleotides) under uncultured Bacteroides sp. Its description in RNAcentral is "bacterial SSU rRNA". It matches the Rfam family "Bacterial small subunit ribosomal RNA", at positions 10 to 1176 of the family's 1533-position model. The record is from RNAcentral. Lineage: Bacteria; Pseudomonadati; Bacteroidota; Bacteroidia; Bacteroidales; Bacteroidaceae.
AGUUUGAUCCUGGCUCAGGAUGAACGCUAGCUACAGGCUUAGCACAUGCAAGUCGAGGGGCAGCAUGGUCUUAGCUUGCUAAGGCCGAUGGCGACCGGCGCACGGGUGAGUAACACGUAUCCAACCUGCCGUCUACUCUUGGACAGCCUUCUGAAAGGAAGAUUAAUACAAGAUGGCAUCAUGAGUCCGCAUGUUCACAUGAUUAAAGGUAUUCCGGUAGACGAUGGGGAUGCGUUCCAUUAGAUAGUAGGCGGGGUAACGGCCCACCUAGUCUUCGAUGGAUAGGGGUUCUGAGAGGAAGGUCCCCCACAUUGGAACUGAGACACGGUCCAAACUCCUACGGGAGGCAGCAGUGAGGAAUAUUGGUCAAUGGGCGAGAGCCUGAACCAGCCAAGUAGCGUGAAGGAUGACUGCCCUAUGGGUUGUAAACUUCUUUUAUAAAGGAAUAAAGUCGGGUAUGUAUACCCGUUUGCAUGUACUUUAUGAAUAAGGAUCGGCUAACUCCGUGCCAGCAGCCGCGGUAAUACGGAGGAUCCGAGCGUUAUCCGGAUUUAUUGGGUUUAAAGGGAGCGUAGAUGGAUGUUUAAGUCAGUUGUGAAAGUUUGCGGCUCAACCGUAAAAUUGCAGUUGAUACUGGAUAUCUUGAGUGCAGUUGAGGCAGGCGGAAUUCGUGGUGUAGCGGUGAAAUGCUUAGAUAUCACGAAGAACUCCGAUUGCGAAGGCAGCCUGCUAAGCUGCAACUGACAUUGAGGCUCGAAAGUGUGGGUAUCAAACAGGAUUAGAUACCCUGGUAGUCCACACGGUAAACGAUGAAUACUCGCUGUUUGCGAUAUACUGCAAGCGGCCAAGCGAAAGCGUUAAGUAUUCCACCUGGGGAGUACGCCGGCAACGGUGAAACUCAAAGGAAUUGACGGGGGCCCGCACAAGCGGAGGAACAUGUGGUUUAAUUCGAUGAUACGCGAGGAACCUUACCCGGGCUUAAAUUGCAGAUGAAUUACGGUGAAAGCCGUAAGCCGCAAGGCAUCUGUGAAGGUGCUGCAUGGUUGUCGUCAGCUCGUGCCGUGAGGUGUCGGCUUAAGUGCCAUAACGAGCGCAACCCUUGUUGUCAGUUACUAACAGGUUCCGCUGAGGACUCUGACAAGACUGCCAUCGUAAGAUGUGAGGAAGGUGG